AAACCUCAGAGCUGCAGCGAGCGGCUGGGCAACCUUCCUGAGGACGGCGCCCCCUCGCCCAGCUCCAAGCUCCUCCCUGUCCCCACAGGAUAUCCCUGGACCUGGCGGGUCACUCUAGCCAGAGCAGCCUUCCACAGUCCUCCAGGGUCAGAGCUACAGUUGAGGACCCUGUAGGUGGUAGAGGUGCCCGGGGCCGGGCUCUGGGGCUGGCAGAGGCAAUGUCAGCGCCUGCCACCUGCGAUGUGGCCAGGGAACUUGGGGCUGAGCAAGGGCACAGAGGGGAGAGUGUGGCAUGAGGGAGAGGCGGGACCCCGCAGAGGCUCCCACACCUUCCAAGGCAGCAGAGGAGAAGGGGAGGCUGCCAACAGCCAGACCAGGGCUCCAGGGGGGCGGCAGGGGGCCCAGGGAGCUCCGGGAAAUGGGACAGCCACUGUCCACCUGCAGAACGCUGGCUUAAGCCUUGCAGACGGGCCCAGUGGGCAGGGUCGUGAUUUUCACUCCCGAAGGGCCUGGGGUGACAAGCCGGAGGUCUGGGAGAUGGGACUGGAGACCGUGUUCAGAAGGAGGAGCUCUCCACUCUGUUGGCAAAAGCCCUGGAGCUCCAGGCAUCCACAGUGACCGAAUGUUGGUAAAGUCCCAGAGGACGGGACCCAGGGCAUGCCCCUCACUGGACGGUGGCCUCGGGCCCUGCAGGGAGUUGAAUGUGGGGUCAUGAAGAUGUCAGAAUUGCGUCUGAAGAUGUCAGAAUUGCAUCUGAGGAGGCAGGUGGGCACACGUGAUGCAGGGACACGCCAUGCACCAGGGUGGGUUCAGAGCAGCAGAAGCUCUAGGGGGCACCUACAGGUUUCUAUAAAAUGGGGGAUUUAAGGGGCCUUGGCCUUCUGCGACUGUGGGGCUGGCUGAGGAGCAUCUGGGAAGCCACGUGGGAGCUGGAGGUCACAGGGCAGGCCGGCGGGAGGGCAGCGGGGCAGGGAUUUGGGCCCCAUCUCCAACACUGAGCCUGGGCCGGGCACAUAAAGUCCCCACAAUUGCUGUGGAAAGAACCAAGUGAAUGCCUAACUUCCUGCCAGCCUUCCAGGAGUAACUCAGUAAAACAAAACCAACCAACCAACAAACCCAGAAGAGGCCCGAGGUCCAUGGUAAAAAUUCAAGAGGUGGAAGGGGCUGGACUAUGGGACCAAGGUCAGGUCUUUCUCCUUCGAGGGACCAAUGGGUGGCCAGGCUCUGAGGCUGCGAGGUCCCCGACACGG
This 1250-nucleotide long non-coding RNA is filed under the name Homo sapiens (human). RNAcentral's name for it is "HSALNT0392249". Lineage: Eukaryota; Metazoa; Chordata; Mammalia; Primates; Hominidae. The record is from RNAcentral.